CUUGGUCAUUUAGAGGAAGUAAAAGUCGUAACAAGGUCUCCGUAGGUGAACCUGCGGAGGGAUCAUUACAAGUGACCCCGGUCUUACCACCGGGAUGUUCAUAACCCUUUGUUGUCCGACUCUGUUGCCUCCGGGGCGACCCUGCCUUCGGGCGGGGGCUCCGGGUGGACACUUCAAACUCUUGCGUAACUUUGCAGUCUGAGUAAACUUAAUUAAUAAAUUAAAACUUUUAACAACGGAUCUCUUGGUUCUGGCAUCGAUGAGGAACGCAGCGAAAUGCGAUAAGUAGUGUGAAUUGCAGAAUUCAGUGAAUCAUCGAAUCUUUGAACGCACAUUGCGCCCCUUGGUAUUCCAUGGGGCAUGCCUGUUCGAGCGUCAUUUCACCACUCAAGCCUCGCUUGGUAUUGGGCAACGCGGUCCGCCGCGUGCCUCAAAUCGACCGGCUGGGUCUUCUGUCCCCUAAGCGUUGUGGAAACUAUUCGCUAAAGGGUGUUCGGGAGGCUACGCCGUAAAACAACCCCAUUUCUAAGGUUGACCUCGGAUCAGGUAGGGAUACCCGCUGAACUUAAGCAUAUCAAUAAGCGGAGGA
RNAcentral lists this ribosomal RNA (589 nucleotides) under uncultured fungus. RNAcentral describes it as "eukaryotic LSU rRNA". The stretch from base 225 to 378 matches the Rfam family "5.8S ribosomal RNA". Lineage: Eukaryota; Fungi. The record is from RNAcentral.